This 460-nucleotide ribosomal RNA is filed under the name uncultured bacterium. RNAcentral describes it as "partial 16S ribosomal RNA". It matches the Rfam family "Bacterial small subunit ribosomal RNA", at positions 338 to 795 of the family's 1533-position model. The record is from RNAcentral.
CCUACGGGAGGCAGCAGUGAGGAAUAUUGGUCAAUGGACGAGAGUCUGAACCAGCCAAGUAGCGUGAAGGAUGACUGCCCUAUGGGUUGUAAACUUCUUUUAUAUGGGAAUAAAAUGUUCCACGUGUGGGAUUUUGUAUGUACCAUAUGAAUAAGGAUCGGCUAACGCCGUGCCAGCAGCCGCGGUAAUACGGAGGAUCCGAGCGUUAUCCGGAUUUAUUGGGUUUAAAGGGAGCGUAGGUGGAUUGUUAAGUCAGUUGUGAAAGUUUGCGGCUCAACCGGAAAAUUGCAGUUGAAACUGGCAGUCUUGAGUACAGUAGAGGUGGGCGGAAUUCGUGGUGUAGCGGUGAAAUGCUUAGAUAUCACGAAGAACUCCGAUUGCGAAGGCAGUUCACUGGACUGCAACUGACACUGAGGCUCGAAAGUGUGGGUAUCAAACAGGAUUAGAUACCCGAGUAGUC